This is a long non-coding RNA of Pseudoliparis swirei, 746 nucleotides long. RefSeq lists it as uncharacterized. The transcript is spliced from 3 exons. The record is from RefSeq and is a predicted model, not a curated record. Lineage: Eukaryota; Metazoa; Chordata; Actinopteri; Perciformes; Liparidae.
CUGUAAGCUGCCAGGGAGCCGCCAAUGCCACCCGUCAAGUACACAAGGGGAAGGAAAGGAAGGAAGGGAAGGAAAGGGCCAAUUAACAGCUCUGUGACUUCACCUCCUACUUUCUUUUGGCCUGUGCCUCUCAUCUCCAUCCUCUGUACCUCACUUCCUCCUCUCCUCACCAGUUGACCCGCAUGAUGCUUCUCGUCAUCAACUACACCACAAGCAGUCGACAGACGUCCUCUGUGAAGGCGACUGGUUGUCGUCCUCUCCUCCCCUCUCGACCUGCGGCUCCACGAGGACGCGCCGGGCACACACACCCUGAGGAAGUGAAGCGUGAGCGAGCGCCACCACUUCAGUGCGUUGACACCGGGGACGUCCCCACGGACGACCAGGGAGGACUGCUACUGGAUUAUAAUCCAACACUUAUUUACAAAUGCGACAUGUUUGGACUUCACAUUGAAACACAAGCAUUUAAAUAUAGUGAAGCAGCUUGAAGACCACCUGUAUGGACACCUCAUCAUCACACACUGCCUCAAGCAGCGCUGCAUUCACACCAACAGACAUUGUGUAACUCGCUUUGGAUCACAGCGUUAUGCUGGAUGACACGUUAUAAUGUCAUUAUGUGAAUUAUAUUCUUUAUUGUAACGUUAAACCUAUAACUGUUUGUAAUAAUGUGAAUUAUCUUCUUUAAUGUAACAUUAAACCUAUAACUGUUUAAUAAUGUCAUUAUGUGAAUUAUAUUCUUUAUUGUAACA